RNAcentral lists this transfer RNA (69 nucleotides) under Boana gladiator. Its description in RNAcentral is "tRNA-Val". It matches the Rfam family "tRNA". Rfam says of the family: Transfer RNA (tRNA) molecules are approximately 80 nucleotides in length. Lineage: Eukaryota; Metazoa; Chordata; Amphibia; Anura; Hylidae. The record is from RNAcentral.
CAAAGUGUAGCUUAAAUAAAGCAUCUCGCUUACACCGAGAAAAUGCCCGAUAAACCCGAGCCACUUUGA